RNAcentral lists this long non-coding RNA (1821 nucleotides) under Ananas comosus (pineapple). RNAcentral describes it as "long non-coding RNA (ACOM_LNC022022)". Lineage: Eukaryota; Viridiplantae; Streptophyta; Magnoliopsida; Poales; Bromeliaceae. The record is from RNAcentral.
UAUGAAUUUUCAGUAUCGUAUUAAUUAAGAGCUUAUUUGGCUGUAUAUUAUUAUUAUAACUGCACUGCAAUUAUAAUUAUAUAUAUAAAUUCAAAAUUUUGUAUUUAAUUUGACAGUGGAAACUACUUGAGGAAGCCUCAGUACGAUAGUUGGAGAUGGUAAAUUUUAAACAAAAAAUAAACAUAUAUUUCUAAUCACUUUUUAAAUAAUUUUUUGGCCAAUUUGCAUAAAAAAUCCACUAAUUUUGCGCUUUUGCAAAAGUGGGCCACCUUUUUAGUUUUUGCAGAUUCGGACCGAAUUUUCAGAAGGAUGACCAAACUACCCUUCUGUCAAAAUGCAUAAAAAUUAUAUGCUUUAAAUGCCUAGAAAAUAUAACUGUUAAGUCACUAAGUGUAAAACUUCUUGAAAUAACAACUACUAAGUCAUAAUUACAUAUACCUUUCUCGUGAAACGAAAAACCUCAUUCAAGAGAAAAUUAAAAAAAAGAAUAAUUAAUAAGAUAAAAGAGUGCAACAUCCUCUCAAAUAGUGCAACAAACUCUUCAAAAUAGUGCAAUAUCUGUAUAAGUAGUGCAACAUAUGCAUUGUUAAUACACAUUUUGCAUAAUUUUUACACUAAAUUACGCAUAAUUUAGUAUAUUACGAAAAAAUAAUAUAUAAUAUUACAACAUACUAUAAAAAUUAUACAAUAUAUGUAUAAACGGUGCAUAUUUUACACUAUUUGUACAGAUAUUUACACAAUUUGUGUAAAUGUUACACUAUUAUGAGAGGAUAUUGCACCAUUUAGAUGUGUGUUACACUCUUUCUUUUUGAAAAUUAAAUUUCAUUCCAUAUUAAAUAAAGUGUAAAAUUUCUUGGAAAUGACAACUGCUAAACCAUAAUUACAUGCAUGUACCUUUCUCGUGAAACAAGAAAUCUCAUUCAAGAAAAAAUAAAAAGAAUAAAGAAUAAUUAAUAAAAUGAAAGAGUGCAACAUCCUUUCAAAUAGUGCAACAAGCUCUUCAAAAUAGUGCAAUAUCUGUAUAAAUAAUGCAACAUAUGCAUUGUUAAUAAAUAUUUUGUAUGACUUUUACACUAAAUUACGCACGGUUUAGUAUAUUACGCGAAAAUAAUAUAUUAUAUUACAACAUACUAUAAAAAUUAUACAAUAUAUGUACAAACGGUGCAUAUUUUACACUAUUUGUAUAGAUAUUUACACCAUUUGUGUAAAUAUUGCACUAUUAUGAGAGAAUGUUGCACCAUUUAGAUGUGUGUUGCACUCUUUCUUUUUGAAAAUUAAAUUUUAUUGCAUAUUAAAUAAAAUAUAAAACUUCUUGGAAAUGACAAUUACUAAGCCAUAAUUACAUGCAUGUACCUUUCUCGUGAAACGAGAAAUCUCAUUCAAGAGAAAAUAAAAAAAAUAAAGAAUAAUUAAUAAGAUGAAAGAGUGCAAUAUCAUCUCAAAUAGUGCAACAAUCUCUUCAAAAUAGUGCAAUAUCUGUAUAAAUAGUGCAACAUAUGCAUUGUUAAUACAUAUUUUGCAUGAUUUUUACACUAAGUUACGUAUAGUUUAGUAUAUUACACAAAAAUAAUAUAAUAUAUUACAAUAUAUUAUAAAAAAUUAUACAAUAUAUGUACAAACGGUACAUAUUUUACAUUAUUUAUACAUAUAUUUACACCAUUUCUGUAAAUGUUGCACUAUUAUGAGAGAAUAUUGCACCAUUUAGAUGUGUGUUGCACUCUUUCUUUUUGAAAAUUAAAUUUCAUUGCAUAUUAAAUAAAGUAUCAAAUUUUUUGGAAAUGACAACUGCUAAGCCAUAAAUUACAUGCAUGUACCUUUCUC